GGAGUUUGGACCGUGUCUCAGUUCCAAUGUGGGGGACCUUCCUCUCAGAACCCCUACUGAUCGUCGGCCAGGUGGGCCGUUACCCCGCCUGCAACCUAAUCAGACGCAUCCCCAUCCCAUAGCGAUGAAUCUUUCGUCCAGGUCAGAUGUCCUCUCUGGACAGCAUAGGGAAUUAAUCCGACUUUCGCCGGGCUGUGCCCUACUAUGGGGAAGGUUGGAUACGCGUUACUCACCCGUGCGCCGGUCGCCAUCUGGAAUAGCAAGCUAUCCCAAUGCUGCCCCUCGACUUGCAUGUGUUAAGCCUGUAGCUAGCGUUCAUC
RNAcentral lists this ribosomal RNA (320 nucleotides) under uncultured Prevotella sp. RNAcentral describes it as "partial 16S ribosomal RNA". Lineage: Bacteria; Pseudomonadati; Bacteroidota; Bacteroidia; Bacteroidales; Prevotellaceae. The record is from RNAcentral.